This 404-nucleotide ribosomal RNA is filed under the name Actinomycetes bacterium. Its description in RNAcentral is "Actinobacteria bacterium partial 16S ribosomal RNA". It matches the Rfam family "Bacterial small subunit ribosomal RNA", at positions 355 to 776 of the family's 1533-position model. Lineage: Bacteria; Bacillati; Actinomycetota; Actinomycetes. The record is from RNAcentral.
UGGGGAAUAUUGGACAAUGGGCGCAAGCCUGAUCCAGCCAUGCCUCGUGAGUGAUGAAGGCCCUAGGGUUGUAAAGCUCUUUCACCGGUGAAGAUAAUGACGGUAACCGGAGAAGAAGCCCCGGCUAACUUCGUGCCAGCAGCCGCGGUAAUACGAAGGGGGCUAGCGUUGUUCGGAUUUACUGGGCGUAAAGCGCACGUAGGCGGACUUUUAAGUCAGGGGUGAAAUCCCGGGGCUCAACCCCGGAACUGCCUUUGAUACUGGAAGUCUUGAGUAUGGUAGAGGUGAGUGGAAUUCCGGGUGUAGAGGUGAAAUUCGUAGAUAUUCGGAGGAACACCAGUGGCGAAGGCGUCUCACUGGACCAUUACUGACGCUGAGGUGCGAAAGCGUGGGGAGCAAACAGG